Long non-coding RNA from Pongo pygmaeus (Bornean orangutan), 2196 nucleotides. RefSeq lists it as uncharacterized. The record is from RefSeq and is a predicted model, not a curated record. The transcript is spliced from 3 exons. NCBI's taxonomy places the organism in Eukaryota, Metazoa, Chordata, Mammalia, Primates, Hominidae.
GCAACUGCCUCGGGGCCCUGGCCUCGCCCCCCACGCGUCACAAUGAAACAAGUCCGCCCUUGCUUCAAUGCCAUUGGUCUGUGCCUGGCCGGUCCUGCAGCAGGUUCCACCCUCUUGCGGGCGAGCUCUGGCUACCAUUGGACUGUCCGGCGCGAGGGGAAGGGUGAUCUAUAAAUAGGGAAUGGGUCCACGUGACAGUUUGGCAGCUGCUCCUACCCCUCCACCCCGCCCAACCUUCAGCUUCUGAGGCUGCGCAGGGGGAGAAAAGGGUUAGGGGGUCGAGCCCUGACUUCGCCUCCUCUUCCAAGAAGCCUUCCCACUCAGCUGUAAAACCAGACGGACGUCCUCCGAUAAAAUUGUUUCUACGUAGGGCCGGCUUCACCGGCUUGGAAUCCACUUAGAAGGGUCUUCGCGCUUGGUUGAAUGUUCUGCAAUUUCUGUCUUGAAAUUUUUAGUUUUUGAGCAAGGGACCCCUUAUUUUCACUUUGCACUAGGCCAAAUAUGUAGCCGGUCUUGCUGCUAAGAGUGUAAGAUCGAUUGCAUUCCAAAUUCUGGAAUUAUAAGACCCUGGGUGGAAGAUUCUAUGCUUUGACCAGAAGAGAGUCUAAGCAGCUUUUGUCUCCCAGGUACUAGGAGGCUGUGUGCUCAUCAUUCUUGCAUUCCAGGGGCCUUUGUUCUACGUUCUAAGGGGCUUUGUUCUCUGUCUUCUAUGAUGCUCUAUUCUCAACGUUCUCUGGUCCUAGGAGUCUGAGCCUGACAUUCGUUUCCAAGGCUUCCUGCUGUCUCUCCAGGCUCCGCAAGCAGGGCUGGGGCACCCUCAGGUGGCCAACCUGUGUCACUACGCCGAGCCGGCCUCUACCGACUUCCAAGACCUAGCUCUAAUAUUCAUACUCAUCUCUCAGACAGACGUUGGCUCCCUAAAAGCCAAGGCCCAGAAGAUCAUACGAGAAAUUCCCUCUUUUAUGAUUCCCCGUGCACGAAGUGACCUUCUGGUGGUGAGAUGGAGAGAAAUUGAUAGUGGCGAUAGACAGCAAAGUCUCCAGGAGCCAGACUUCCUCGGGGCUAUGUUGCCCAAACUGGACUCGAACUCCUGGACUCCAGCGAUCCUCCCACCUCAGCCUCUUAAGUAGCUGGGAAUACAGUCACCUGCCACCAUGCCCAGCUUUCAGGGCUGACCCUUUUGGGGUCAUAAACCCAAAGGCUCCAGGUCCCAGCCAAUGUCUUGGGAGGCUCAGCCCCUUCUCCUGGUCACCGCAGCCCUUUGGCACCCUCAAGUCCAGUCCCUUUCCUGGUCCCACCCUAGACAAGCCAAGUCUCACUCAGCCCCCCUAAGGUUCCAAGUGUCCUCCUUAGUGAUUCUGGGGCACUUGGUUUCCAGCCCAAGUAACCUAGUCUAGGCCUGAGUCCCAACCCACAGUUUACAGGACGGCUCCUCCUGUGGCCACACCCCUCCGGUUGGCCUGCCCCAGCACUGGGCUCCACCCCCAAGGUGCCAGGCGGUUUCCGGGUCCACCCCCUCUCGUGGCUCCGCCCACUUCUCCAACCCCACCCCACAACCCACCCGCCCAUGGGGUAGGCGGGCCCCAGGCACCUCCAGCUGAGAUGUGGCUCCAGGGGCUGGCCGGGUACAUGAAGGCAGCAUUCUGGAUCUGGUCAUUGAUGUCCUCGUCCUCGUUGAAAGGGAACGUGCCGCUGAGGCUGACAUACAUGAUCACGCCCACCGACCACAUAUCGAGCGAGCGGUUGUAGCCCUGGUUGAGCAGCACCUCGGGCGCCAGGUAGGCCGGCGUGCCCACCACUGAGCGGCGGAACGACUUCUCACCAAUGAUGCGCGCAAAGCCAAAGUCACACAGUUUCACCUGCAGAGGGUGAGGGAUGGAGGCUCUACCAGGUGAUGGAGCCGCACCCGCCCCAGCAUCCCCACCACGCUACUCUCCAUGGUAUUCCAGAGAAAGCUGAAUGCUGGUUUGAAUCCAGGCUCCUUGGCUCACUAGCUGAGCAACCCUGGGCAAGUAACUUCCCCCCCUCUGUGCCUCAGUUUCCCCAUCUAUAGGAAGAAGAUGAGCAGAAGAGUGCCUAUCUCAGAGGACUGCCAUGAUGGUUAGUGAGUUAAACCAUCCAAAGCCCACAGGACAAGAUAUGGCAUGCAGUUGGUGCACAAUAAAUGCUAGCUGCUGCUAUACCUCUGCCACCUCC